CUCUCAGACCAUCAAAGAGACAGCAUGAUCCACAUAACUCUAUAUUAACUUUCUUUACUCAUCUUUUUUUUCCUCUGAUUCCUAAUUUAGGGGAAAAAAAAGAUGAGUAAAGAAAGUUAAUAUAGAGUUAUGUGGAUCAUGCUGUCUCUUUGAUGGUCUGAGA
Molecule: microRNA precursor, 163 nt
Filed under: Marmota monax (woodchuck)
Lineage: Eukaryota; Metazoa; Chordata; Mammalia; Rodentia; Sciuridae
Source: RNAcentral